RNAcentral lists this long non-coding RNA (1425 nucleotides) under Monodelphis domestica (gray short-tailed opossum). Its description in RNAcentral is "lncRNA (ENSMODG00000035812.2)". The record is from RNAcentral. Lineage: Eukaryota; Metazoa; Chordata; Mammalia; Didelphimorphia; Didelphidae.
CCCAGUUUCUCUUCCCUGGUUCGAACACCUCCCAGUUCCUUAUAUGAAUCUGCUUCUGUAUGACCUCGAGGCUCUUAACCAUCUUGUUCACCUAGAUACAUCUUGUUUCCACAUUAGCCUUUAUUGGGCUGGCCCCAUAAACAAAUCUGUCAUUCAGAAAGGUUUACUGGAAACACAGAACUUGGUCUGAUGUGAUUUUCUCUUGUCUGGGUGACUUUGCACAUCCUUGAACUGACUCACCUGGAUGCUGACAAGACUAGUCCCUGGGGGGAGAGAAGGGAGGAAUUUCUAAGGACUUGCAGUUGCCCAGGCAUGACUGUGGUCACUUGGGAAAUCCUCAGGAUUUGGCAGCUUAUUGAGCCUUAUCUGGAAGCAAGUCAAAGUGGAGAGAAGGUGACAACUUUGGAAAGGGGGAACCUGCAUGAAAAGCCCACCUCAUCAUUUUCUCUAAGGCGCAUGCUCAGGAAAAGGUCAAAAAUCCUUUUUACUGUAUGGAAAAAGAAACGCCUUGGAAACCUCUGCUAUCAAGUUUGAUAAGGUUUCAGAAGAUCCAGGAAUUUGAAGCAGGGGAAAACCAGUUAGCAGUGAUGUCUUACAAAUAUGCCUUCCUAAGUUGCAGAAGGGAUAUCCCUUCUGCAGAACCCUAGCCUCCAUUAUUGUGCCAAAUACCUAAAAAUGUUCUGUGUUCUAUAACAUUUUAAAGUGCAUUUCUUACACUAAGUUCCAUGUGCUGACUUUUCUUUUUGGUAGUGAUUCAAUACUGUAUAUAGUUUUACAUAAGAAAAUCUCCCCUUUGAAUAAGUUUUAGAAAUCAUUGUGGGAGUUGGGAUGGUACAGAGUAAAGUCUGGACAGUAAUUUAGAAAUAUAUUAUCUCAAACAUUUAAAAAUCAUUCUAUAAAAUAUAUUCUCUAAAAAAACAGAAAAAGGAACAAAAUUGUCCUUAAAAACAAAUGUUUCUUUUUUAACUCAGUUUCCCCCCAUGCUUUCACAUCUCUUGACAAAAAUUCUCAACUCUUUAACUCCUGAAGCAAUAUAUUGUUGUAUCAUAUAUGAAACUUUUACUCUGAAUAAGCUCUGUGUCUCUAAUCAUUUAUAAAUUGAAUUCAAACAGUUGGUAAUUCCAAAUUGUGAGAAGUCCUCCUUAAUGCCUCCUAUAGGGCAGCAUCAAAUUUCUGUAUGCAACCAGAGAGGUGAGUUUUAUUAGCCAAGUAUUCCGGUUUAAUUUAAAAAGUAAUGCUUCAAAUGGCACUGGAAAUUUUCUUUUCCUGAAUGAAACCUUCUAGGAGCUGCAUAAAAUCAUACCAUGGUCCAAAUGUGGCCCUAAGGAAAAUUGGUCAUUUCAGUUUACAAUUAAAUCUGUAUUAGUCUUUUACUUUUAUAAAAUAGACUACCACAUGUAUGAAAUAUUUUAUCAAAGAAAAGUA